This 1607-nucleotide long non-coding RNA is filed under the name Varroa destructor (honeybee mite). Its description in RNAcentral is "uncharacterized LOC111243921". Lineage: Eukaryota; Metazoa; Arthropoda; Arachnida; Mesostigmata; Varroidae. The record is from RNAcentral.
UAUGCAUAUAGAAGAGGGAAAGGUUUUUGACAAAAGCACAUAAACACUUAGAACAGGUCCUUUUCUGUAUCAAGUUGAAUAUGCGAAUUCAAUUUGCAAUAUUAUGCAAGCUAUAGUAUAUAGCACGGUUAUGUUUAGGGGUCCGUGAAUGCCAUCUUACGUUGUCAGCACAACAGCAGUUGUGCCUUAUAGCGGGUCGAAAACCAGCAAAUGACACCAGUCGUAUAGAUGAUUGUGGGCAUCCUGCCGGUUUCUAGAGUCGUUACUUUUCCUCUGUUCCGUGUCACUCUAUUGCCUCAACGCCAGCUACCGCCGCAUUGAAUAACCGGCUCUUGCGGGUUACGCUCACUGUUAUUUCGAAACAACGACCUUAUACAGAUCUGGACCUAUAUAUGAAAAGGUUGAACAAAUCGCAGAGAGACAUCACGAAUUGUUUCUGAGUUUUAUCAUUGUCGAUCCGAAACAUAUUCUAUAGGUUUCGAAAGUACGAUCAGCCGUCAGACUAAAGUCUGGUCCUCGAACCAUGGUGCUCGCACCGUGUGUGUUGUUUGCCGCAAGGACAUUAAAUGAUCAAGACACGUUUAGAAGGAUUCGCUUGAAGUUUAACGUAGUCAGCAAAGAGAACUUUUGGAAAUGCACGAACAAAACUUAUCGUUCUGGCGAAACACGUGAGGUAUAGCUUGGCCAGAAGCUCCUUUUCGGCUCAUCCGCAUCGCUGAAUGUGACUGCUUGGCUUGUUUGAAAGCACAGUCUGACUUCGUGACUCGGAUUUCGAGAGGCGUGAACCUGAGCAUACGUAUGUGCCGCACACAGAAGACAGAUUGAAGCGAAAGAUCUGUGAAAGGUGAUAUGCGAGUGCUUCGUACGAGUGUUGUGCUCCUACUGGGCUUACUUUACCAAUAGGGGAUGAUUGUCCCACAUAUUUGCCAACGGAUACCGAUCAAUCAGUGGGAACGGUAAUUACACACGAAUAGUAUUUAUUGAUGUUUGAUUACGAUAGCAAUUGAGAUAUCUGCUCAGAGAUUUCCUCUUUGUAAAUCAGGGUAAUGGAAAUAUGUUGAAAUAGAGCCGAAGCAUGACCAACUUGAUAUUUUUGCAAUGACCUCUUACUAUAAUAGCGAUUCGAAUUUUUAUAGGCAAACAAAAACAGUUUAAUAACUUAGCCUAUCUCUAUCAUUAUUUACUAGUACUAUACUAUAUAAUAGAUAUAAGCAAUGUGUCAUUAUACCAUCGGAGACGUAAAACCUAUUGUAUAUAUAUAUACAGGGUGGAACAUUUGAUCGAUUGAUUUGUGUUAGCAAGUACGCAUUUACCCGUUAUUCUUGGUAUCGGAAGAAUGCUAGUUUUUUCUAAAAAAAAACUGUUUAUAGCGAAAACUAAUGCAUCAUUUUUCAUAUGCGACUUGAGGCAAAGAUCAGAUACUACUUACUUUUUCUGCGUUUGACAAAGUUUCUUGGAAGUUAAAGAUUUUCUUUCUUCACUGAUUGUGGUGAUCUACAUUUUUUUUUUCAAUUUUCAUCAAACGUCUAAAAAAUUGGAAAAAAAAAGAAAAAGAAAAAAGUGUUAGAAUAUAUCCAAUAGGUUUUACACUAAAGGAGCUUCAAAAA